AUUGAACGCUGGCGGCAUGCUUUACACAUGCAAGUCGAACGGCAGCGCGGGCUUCGGCCUGGCGUCGAGUGGCGAACGGGUGAGUAAUACAUCGGAACGUGCCCAGUAGUGGGGGAUAGCUCGGCGAAAGCCGGAUUAAUACCGCAUACGACCUGAGGGUGAAAGCGGGGGAUCUUCGGACCUCGCGCUCUUGGAGCGUCCGAUGGCAGAUUAGCUAGUUGGUGGGGUAAAGGCCUACCAAGGCGUCGAUCUGUAGCUGGUCUGAGAGGACGACCAGCCACACUGGGACUGAGACACGGCCCAGACUCCUACGGGAGGCAGCAGUGGGGAAUUUUGGACAAUGGGCGAAAGCCUGAUCCAGCAAUGCCGCGUGUGUGAUGAAGGCCUUCGGGUUGUAAAGCACUUUUGGCGGGAACGAAAAGGACUGUGCCAAUACCACGGUUCGAUGACGGUACCCGCAGAAUAAGCACCGGCUAACUACGUG
Molecule: ribosomal RNA, 484 nt
Filed under: uncultured bacterium
Lineage: Bacteria
Description: partial 16S ribosomal RNA
Rfam family: Bacterial small subunit ribosomal RNA
Source: RNAcentral